GACGAACGCUGGCGGCGUGCUUAACACAUGCAAGUCGAGCGAGGCGGCCCGCAAGGGCCAGUCGAGCGGCGAACGGGUGAGUAACGCGUGGAUUAUCUGCCCUGAGGUGGGGGAUAACCCGGGGAAACUCGGGCUAAUACCGCAUAGGACCGUGAGGUCGAAAGGGGGGUCGCAAGAUCUCUCGCCAUUGGAGGAGUCCGCGUUCGAUUAGCUAGUUGGUAGGGUAAUGGCCUACCAAGGCGACGAUCGAUAGCCGGCCUGAGAGGGUGAUCGGCCACACUGGAACUGAGACACGGUCCAGACUCC
RNAcentral lists this ribosomal RNA (306 nucleotides) under uncultured bacterium. Its description in RNAcentral is "bacterial SSU rRNA". It matches the Rfam family "Bacterial small subunit ribosomal RNA", at positions 28 to 339 of the family's 1533-position model. The record is from RNAcentral.